UGGGGAAUUUUGCGCAAUGGGCGAAAGCCUGACGCAGCAACGCCGCGUGGGUGAUGAAGGUCUUCGGAUCGUAAAACCCUGUCGUCAGGGACGAAGGUUUGGGCGUUAAUAGCGCUUAAGCUUGACGGUACCUGGAGAGGAAGCCCCGGCUAACUCUGUGCCAGCAGCCGCGGUAAUACAGAGGGGGCAAGCGUUAUUCGGAAUUAUUGGGCGUAAAGGGCGCGUAGGCGGCUUUUUAAGUGAGAUGUGU
RNAcentral lists this ribosomal RNA (250 nucleotides) under uncultured bacterium. RNAcentral describes it as "partial 16S ribosomal RNA". It matches the Rfam family "Bacterial small subunit ribosomal RNA", at positions 355 to 597 of the family's 1533-position model. The record is from RNAcentral.